GGGACGAACGCUGGCGGCGUGCUUAACACAUGCAAGUCGAGCGGUAAGGCCUUUCGGGGUACACGAGCGGCGAACGGGUGAGUAACACGUGGGUGAUCUGCCCUGCACUUCGGGAUAAGCCUGGGAAGCUGGGUCUAAUACCGGAUAUGACCUCCUAUCGCAUGGUGGGUGGUGGAAAGAUUUAUCGGUGCAGGAUGGGCCCGCGGCCUAUCAGCUUGUUGGUGGGGUAAUGGCCUACCAAGGCGACGACGGGUAGCCGACCUGAGAGGGUGACCGGCCACACUGGGACUGAGACACGGCCCAGACUCCUACGGGAGGCAGCAGUGGGGAAUAUUGCACAAUGGGCGAAAGCCUGAUGCAGCGACGCCGCGUGAGGAUGACGGCCUCGGUUGUAAACCUCUUCAGCAGGACGAAGCGCAAGUGACGGUACCUGCAGAAGAAGCACCGGCUAACUACGUGCCAGCAGCCGC
Molecule: ribosomal RNA, 470 nt
Filed under: uncultured soil bacterium
Lineage: Bacteria
Description: bacterial SSU rRNA
Rfam family: Bacterial small subunit ribosomal RNA
Source: RNAcentral